This 253-nucleotide ribosomal RNA is filed under the name uncultured bacterium. RNAcentral's name for it is "partial 16S ribosomal RNA". It matches the Rfam family "Bacterial small subunit ribosomal RNA", at positions 524 to 776 of the family's 1533-position model. The record is from RNAcentral.
UACGGAGGGGGCUAGCGUUGUUCGGAAUUGCUGGGCGUAAAGCGCACGUAGGCGGCUUUGUAAGUUAGAGGUGAAAGCCCAGGGCUCAACCCUGGAAUUGCCUUUAAGACUGCAUCGCUUGAACAUCGGAGAGGUAAGUGGAAUUCCGAGUGUAGAGGUGAAAUUCGUAGAUAUUCGGAAGAACACCAGUGGCGAAGGCGACUUACUGGACGAUUGUUGACGCUGAGGUGCGAAAGCGUGGGGAGCAAACAGG